This 70-nucleotide transfer RNA is filed under the name Coladenia maeniata. RNAcentral's name for it is "tRNA-Ile". Lineage: Eukaryota; Metazoa; Arthropoda; Insecta; Lepidoptera; Hesperiidae. The record is from RNAcentral.
AAUAAAGUGCCUGAUAAAAGGAUUAUUCUGAUAGAAUAAAAAAUGUAAUUUAAUUAAUUUACCUUUAUUA